GCUCACCCUAUGCUGAGCUCACCGGAAAAUAAUUGAUCUAUAUUAUGUAUAUAUUGUAAUUAUGGACAUUGAAGGCCCUUUUGAUUUGAUUAUUUGUAAUGAAAGAAAGAAAAAGUCCAAGGUAUGUAAUUGGUAGACUCUUGGGAUGGAUUUUGGGUUGGCCCAACUUAUUAAAAAGUAAAUGGGCCACAGCCCACAGUCCAUAACCUGUUAAAAAUAAAAUAAAUUCUUGUGUGGACUGCUUCUAAAAAGGAUUAAUUCUGUUAAUUAACUGUACUUUAAAUUAGUUCAACAAUCCAUUCUGUUAACACUCAUUUUACAUUUCUCAACAAACACUCAAUUUGUUCAACAACUCACUCACUUGGUAGUUGUUGUUUGUUCUUUACAAGUGUAUAUAAACAAUCCUUCUUCUGGUGAUUUUGAACACAUUGAUUUAUUUCCAUUCAAUGGCAGCUUCAUCCACCUCUACCUAUCUCCUCCUCUAAAUCCACCACUGUUGAUCAUUAACAGUAAAAAUAUCUCGGCUUAAACCCUUAUGUGGUCCGACGAGAUUAUGGUUUCAAGGUAUAUCGUCUAUGAACUCUAAAUAUUUUUUCUUUUUCCGGUGAUCCGGGCUGUUUUAUUUUCACUGUGUUGUGCUGUUCUAACAAUGGUUUUCUUCUUUCCAUUGUCCAUUCCUGCUAGUUGCCUAGCUGCAUUUUCUUUAUUUCUCGUCUUUUUAGUUUUCGUUGGUGAAAUAGAUUUUCCCUUUUUAUUGCCAGUUCUUGAUCAUUAUCAGAUCUCUUUUUUUAUAAUCAGAAUCAGAUUUUUUAUAAUUUUACAAUUUGCUUUUUGUUGUUAUUUAUCACUGGUGAAUUUUCUUUUCUAACAAGUAACAAUAGAUUUCUAGUGACUAUAUUUACUAAUGUUCACUUUCUGAAGCAUCAGCAGAUGAUUUAUGAAUUUAUGAAUUUUCUCUUUUGAUCAAAUUAUUGAUUUUAUCUAUUACUGAUUUCUCUUUUGAUCAAAAUUAAAAGUUGAUUUUUUUUAUAUCAAAAUGAUCUCUUGGAGUUAUUCCUGUUUUAAUAAUAUAGGAUUUAGGGUUUUAGUCUUAUUAUUGUGUUCAAUAUUGAUUAUUAAACUUCCUGUUGUGAUGUACAGAUUGAUUCUGUUUAAUGCAUCACUUUGUUGAUAUUUUAUGAAAACAUUAAAUGUCAAUGUCUUUAAAAAAGGUAAAUAUUUAUUUUUACAAAUACUAUUUAUAAUCGUUCAAUACAACCCGAGAUUGAAAAAAGGUAAUGUUAAUGGGAUCGUUCAACCAAUAGUUUAUUUUCGUAACCAAGAGCUUGAGACCAUGAAAUAACAUGGGAUGGAAAUGUGUUGCGAGAAUGAUGAUGAUCAAACCAAUAGCUGAUUUUUGAUUUCCUUGAUCAGGUUAUCCCUCUCCACUCUACCAGUACUUGCUUAGUUUUCCUGCCUCUGCGUGUGAUGAGUCUGUAUCCCACUAUUGACCUCGGAACUAUUACAGGGUGUGAUUCCCAUGUCGUAGGUGGUAAUUCUACUUUUCGUUCGUCUGUUACUGUUCCCACUACCGGCUUCAGUAAGGAUAUGUGAAACACUGGAAAGAUGCUGCUUCCGGUCGGAAGUUCUAAG
This 1632-nucleotide long non-coding RNA is filed under the name Zostera marina. RNAcentral describes it as "long non-coding RNA (ZMAR_LNC005141)". The record is from RNAcentral. Lineage: Eukaryota; Viridiplantae; Streptophyta; Magnoliopsida; Alismatales; Zosteraceae.